RNAcentral lists this unclassified non-coding RNA (380 nucleotides) under uncultured fungus. RNAcentral describes it as "partial contains 5.8S ribosomal RNA and internal transcribed spacer 2". The stretch from base 1 to 133 matches the Rfam family "5.8S ribosomal RNA", at positions 22 to 154 of the family's 154-position model. The record is from RNAcentral. Lineage: Eukaryota; Fungi.
UGGUUCUCGCAUCGAUGAAGAACGCAGCGAAUUGCGAUAUGUAAUGUGAAUUGCAGAAUUCAGUGAAUCAUCGAAUCUUUGAACGCACCUUGCGCCCUUUGGUAUUCCGAAGGGCAUGCCUGUUUGAGUAUCAUUAAUACCUCACUCUUGAAUUCCUUUGUGAAGCCAAGCAAGUGGAUUUUGGAGGUCUUGCAGGCCAUCGCUGGUCGGCUCCUCUUAAAAGAAUUAGUGGAACUCUAUGCAGUACCAGCCUCGGUUUGAUAAUCCUAUCUAUGCUGUCGCUGAUGGACUGUGCUGUUUGGCUUACAACUGUCUUCGGACUGUCGCUUUUGCGGCAUAACAUUAAACUUGAUCUCAAAUCAGGUAGGACUACCCGCUGA